RNAcentral lists this ribosomal RNA (253 nucleotides) under uncultured bacterium. Its description in RNAcentral is "partial 16S ribosomal RNA". It matches the Rfam family "Bacterial small subunit ribosomal RNA", at positions 524 to 776 of the family's 1533-position model. The record is from RNAcentral.
AACGUAGGAUCCGAGCGUUUUCCGGAAUCACUGGGUGUAAAGGGUGCGUAGGCGGGCUUGCGCGUCAAGGGUUAAAGACCUCGGCUCAACCGAGGGAAUGCCCUUGAUACGGCAGGUCUUGAGUGCGGGAGAGGAUGGUGGAAUUCCUGGUGUAGGGGGGAAAUGCGUAGAGAUCAGGAGGAACCCCGAAGGCGAAGGCAGCCAUCUGGACCGCCACUGACGCUGAGGCACGAAAGCGUGGGGAGCAAACAGG